UGUGAGGUUUAAAACCUGAGUGAGGCUGGUGGCGGUGAUAAGUAGGUGACUGUCUUUAACACUUCAUUGUCACUGCCUUAACGAAUGCUUAGCAAAUACACAAUCUGAUUAGCACGACUCGCCACCUAGCGGAUUUGUUUGUUUGGACAAUCGACAUUUUCAAGCACAUCCUGGUUUACCUCUCCGUCUUGCUUACCUGCAGGUAUAAAAGGGAGACAACCUGGGGCCCUUGUAGCUCCUUGUCAGGUGUUUGGGUGUAUAUUCACAGCAGACUGUCAACAUGCGACACCUGGUAGUGGUUGUGGUGGUUCUGAUGGCUGUCUGUCUGAUGACCACUUCAGCGGCUGACGCUUCUGAUGAGGGCCAGGGACUGGUGCACAAGCUGAAGAGACGUCAGGCCCCUUAUUCGGCAUACACAGGGCCACUGUCUACUCGCUGGCCUUUUUGUUUCUGCUUCCCACCACCCUGUCGUUGUAUUCCUAGGGGAUAAUAAUGAAUCAUGUAGACCAACUUUUGUGAAACAUUUCAAACACCUAACUCUAAUCUACUUGACAACUAUGGUAGCACGAUUUUCACAUUUGAAUACUGACAUUAGAAUUUACAAUCCCAACACCAUACUGACUACAUUCUAAUGAUUCAUCUACAAUAAAUUUGUAAAAAUAAUUUUAGGGAUAGUUUUAAUUAUUGAAGUGUUUUCUUUUUUGUUUUUUUUUCUUUGUGACCCCAUAGUCUAGUUAUGUAAAAAGUGUGCUUUUUAUUUUUUUUACUUAUUAUUAUAUUCUUAAAAAUUAUUUCAUCGAAUUCUUACUAAUUACUAAAAUGCGGCACAGAAGAUUUCCUAAGAUUUGUAUUAUUGAUGUUUUUGAGUGGUUUGUGGUGUCAAAACCGUUGCACAAAGACGAUUUUUGACGUGUAACAUUUGGACCAGAAAAAAUUAAUUAUAGAGAGAAAUAUAGUUACUACUACUACUAAUACGCUGAUAUCAAAUGCACUAGUGUCAUAACCGGAAUAAAACAGAAGGCUCUACUUGAUUAUAGUGGAA
Molecule: long non-coding RNA, 1042 nt
Organism: Pomacea canaliculata
Lineage: Eukaryota; Metazoa; Mollusca; Gastropoda; Architaenioglossa; Ampullariidae
Exons: 3
Source: RefSeq, a predicted model, not a curated record